UUAAGUAGGAAUUUAAUUUUGGUUCCGAUUGAACGUUUUUCAGUAGUUUCAAGACAUGCAAAUCGUUUGAAGAUAGUUAAUUAAAAUUAACCUUUUUAAAAGUAGUUAAUAGUUGGAAUUGCCUAGCAAACUAACAAAUUUAAGUUUUCAAGGUGUAGGGGUGAGUAUAGUAAAUAAGAUACCCUUGUAAUCUUUCAAAAUGGGAGAUAGUACUGCUAUCAGUAAUAAACAAAGGUAAACUUUAAAACCAGAAAGGAAAUUUUCCGUUACAAGGAUUCGAUUUACGUUUGAUUAGGUAGUUGGUAGGGUAAAGGCUUACCAAGCCAAUAAUCAAUAGUCAAGUUUGACAGAACUAAUGACCACAUUGGGAAUGAAAUCUCCCAAGUAGCGUAUUGCUACCAGCAGUCAAGAAUAUUAGUCAAUGCUCGUAAGAGUGAACUAGCUAACUGAAAUCCUUGAUGUGUCAUUGAGGAUAACGUAAGGGAAAAUAAUGCUAUUACCUUACUAUUAGUGUCGUCCAAGUGCUCGUGCCAGAAGACUCGGUAAGGCGAGAGACGCAAACGUUAUUCGUCUUGAUCAGGCGUAAAGGGUAAGUAGGCUGCUAAAAGUGUUCUAUUUUAUGUUUACUAUUAUAAACAAAUAAUAAUAAAAUAAAACCAAUUAAAGCUAGAAUCUAAAGGAGGUUAAAACAAUACUCAUGGUAGGUGUACCAACCGUAGAUAAUGAGCAGAGUGUUAACGGCGAAGGCAUUUAUCCAAUAAAGAUUGACGCUGAGGAACGAAGGUGAGGACAGAAAAAAGGAUUAGAGACCCUUGUAUCCCUCACUGUAAACGAUGAAUGGUAGUUACUAGAAAGAAAUGAUCUAGAGGCGAUGUUAACACGAAAACCAUUCCGCCUUGUGAGUACGACUGCAAAGUUGAAAACAAAAAAAUUAGUCGGUUUCGGAGCAAACGAAGUGAAGCAUGUUAUUUAAUGCGACGGUCCGCGUAAAACCUUACCAGUUCUUGUAUAAAAACUUUUAGUUAUUAAUUUAACACGUUCCCUUUUUCAAAGGUAAAAGGAGUAUUCUAAUUAAUUAUUAAAUAGUUAAUAGGUACUUAAUACAGGUGUUGCAUGGCUGUCUUCAGUCCGUAUUGUGAAAAGUUAGGUUAAAUCCGUUAACGGACGCAAUCCCUAGUCUUAAUUUCAACUUAAGGCUUUAUAAUUUUGAUAAGAAGUUAUUUGGGGCUAAGACAAGCCCUUAUGGCCCUCAUGAACUGGGCUAUUGACGUGCUAUAAAGACUUUCACAAAGUGAUGCAAACCUUCUCUUAUGAAAUCCCUAUUGGGUCUUAGAGUUAAAGGAUAAGCUAAUCAUUAAAAAAAGUCAAAAUACAAAAUUAAUGUUACGGAUUGUCACCUGAAACUUGGUGGCAUGAAGGAGGAAUUUCGAGUAAUCGUUGAUCAUUAGGCGCAACGGUGAAGCUUAAAUCCGGGAUGAACUAACUGUCUGUCGCUGGGAAGAAGCUUAUUUUGGUGGAAACUGUAUUAAAGUAAUAUUUAUAAUAUAAAGCUUAUAGCUAUAAAUGUUUAUAUGAAAGUAGCAUAUAAAUAGUUAAAAUAUUAAUUAUUAUUAAAUUUAUUUAAGCCAUUUGAGUAACAUCUCAAAAGUCAUAGCAAGGUAGUUGUACUGGAAGGUGCAGCUGGAAAAUUAAUUUU
RNAcentral lists this ribosomal RNA (1696 nucleotides) under Pyrrhoderma noxium. Its description in RNAcentral is "Bacterial small subunit ribosomal RNA". It matches the Rfam family "Bacterial small subunit ribosomal RNA". The record is from Rfam by way of RNAcentral. Lineage: Eukaryota; Fungi; Basidiomycota; Agaricomycetes; Hymenochaetales; Hymenochaetaceae.